UACGGGGGGUGCAAGCGUUGUUCGGAAUCAUUGGGCGUAAAGCGAGCGCAGGCGGCCCGUUAAGACAGGUGUGAAAUCCCUGGGCUCAACCUAGGAAUUGCGCUUGUGACUGGCGGGCUCGAGUACGGUAGAGGGGGGUGGAAUUCCUGGUGUAGCAGUGAAAUGCGUAGAGAUCAGGAGGAACACCGAUGGCGAAGGCAGCCCCCUGGGCCUGUACUGACGCUCAUGCACGAAAGCGUGGGGAGCAAACAGG
RNAcentral lists this ribosomal RNA (253 nucleotides) under uncultured microorganism. RNAcentral's name for it is "partial 16S ribosomal RNA". It matches the Rfam family "Bacterial small subunit ribosomal RNA", at positions 524 to 776 of the family's 1533-position model. The record is from RNAcentral.